GUUUUUGUAGUUGAGUUACAACACUGAUUUUUCAUUUCGGAGGUCUGGUUUAGGAUUGCCAGUAAAAACG
This 70-nucleotide transfer RNA is filed under the name Phrynocephalus maculatus (blacktail toadhead agama). RNAcentral describes it as "tRNA-Glu". The record is from RNAcentral. Lineage: Eukaryota; Metazoa; Chordata; Lepidosauria; Squamata; Agamidae.